AAGAAAAGAAAAGAAAAGAAAGAGCAGAAGAAUCUUUGUAUAUUUCUUUUUCACUAUGCUAAUGUAUUAUCAACCAGUUGACACCUCUUCUCAACAGCAAUAUAUACUACCAUAUUCUUAAUUUUGCUACUAUGGACAUCACGUACAUUCAUGACCCCCAUUAUCAUCACCAAUACCAUUGCCACUGUUCUGGUAUCACCACCUGUACACCUCAUGCCACUGCAUCCUGACAUUGCCAUUUAUGCAUUCUCCACAAAAAUGGAAAUGAAUUGAAUAAUACCUACAUAUACCUCUCUUUGUGAACCCAAUUGCAUGAAGAUCAUAGGAGGAAUAGUAGGCGAGCCACGAGCUUAAUAGAACUGAAGUCAGAAUGAGUUAUCAUGACGAGUGAAACUAACAAUAAGCUGGCUUACAAAUUGUUUGUUGCUGUUCUUCAGUUUUAG
RNAcentral lists this unclassified non-coding RNA (443 nucleotides) under Hevea brasiliensis (rubber tree). Lineage: Eukaryota; Viridiplantae; Streptophyta; Magnoliopsida; Malpighiales; Euphorbiaceae. The record is from RNAcentral.